UGCACACCACCUCAAGAGUCUCUGUCAGAGUGUCUUAGGAAUCCAGAAGACACGCUCAAAGCUGCGUGCAAACGUAGAUCGGACCUCCUGUGUAUACUAAUCCCCAAAACCUCUCCCAUGUCGAGCGACUCUGGACUCUCCCCAUUGAUAAGUGUCCAGUCGAAGUGGUACAACAGUUGCAAACAAAGCUCCAGGACAUUGCCUACGUCCAGCUCCGAACGGGAUAAACCCCAUGUGCACGGUGGUGGCCUUGAUGUCAUCACCAUUCUUCUCGAAUCUCUCUGGCAUGAACUCAUCAGCAUCCUUCCAAUAUCUUGGGUCCCUCGCUACAGCAAAUGCGUUUAUGAAAAUAUUGGUGCCUUGUGGUAUGUAGUGGAGGUCACCAAUGUCAGCACCGGUGACCAUGGCUCUUCCUUGGCCAAGUGCGUUUUGAACUUCUUGUUUUGCCUUCUCCAUCGUCCUUGGAUUCCUCAUGAGCUCUGCCAUAGCCCAUUCAAGCGUGGAACCUGUAAGAUGAGGGCGCCGAUGAUCUCCGCGGUGAUAGGGAAGGUGAGGUUGUCUUCCCUUUGUAGCCUCAGGAGCACAUCGAGCAGGUCGUCGUUAUCGUCGUCCUCAGCGCUGGCGCCAGGGGAGGCACUCGCCUCGUUCUCCUUGCGGUCCUGA
This 663-nucleotide long non-coding RNA is filed under the name Oryza sativa Indica Group (long-grained rice). RNAcentral describes it as "lncRNA OsZS97_03G022870". Lineage: Eukaryota; Viridiplantae; Streptophyta; Magnoliopsida; Poales; Poaceae. The record is from RNAcentral.